This 253-nucleotide ribosomal RNA is filed under the name uncultured bacterium. Its description in RNAcentral is "partial 16S ribosomal RNA". It matches the Rfam family "Bacterial small subunit ribosomal RNA", at positions 524 to 776 of the family's 1533-position model. The record is from RNAcentral.
UACAGAGGGUGCAAGCGUUGUUCGGAAUUAUUGGGCGUAAAGGGCGCGUAGGCGGUGCUGUAAGUCUGUGGUGAAAUCUCUGGGCUCAACUCAGAGUCUGCCAUAGAAACUGCAGUGCUGGAGUGUGGGAGAGGUGAGUGGAAUUCCCGGUGUAGCGGUGAAAUGCGUAGAUAUCAAGUGGAACACCAGUGGCGAAGGCGAGUCCCUGGACAACUCCCGACACUGAGGCACGAAAGCUAGGGGAGCAAACAGG